Amphiprion ocellaris (clown anemonefish) is the source of this 425-nucleotide long non-coding RNA. Lineage: Eukaryota; Metazoa; Chordata; Actinopteri; Pomacentridae. The record is from Ensembl.
AACGAUGCGGAAGUUGAAGUCACCGUGGAGAACGUAAACUAAUGUUAAGCAGCCUCCUGAAAAUUAAAGAAAAGAGCCAAAGAAAAUAAAGAAAAAGAGGCAGAGGCGGCGGAGCGGACACCGGCCGAGCAGGACGCUUCUUCUCCGUCUGCUCUCUCACUGCUGCCGGCAUGCAGCGGAGUUUGUUUAGCUAGCCGUUACUGUCACUACUCCUCCGGUUCUCCGUUAACCGUUGCCUUCUCCGUGACCGUCAGUCCGCCCGUUACCGACACAGCUGCCGAUAAAUGGACCCACCGGGUGAGUCAGAGUCCACGUCGGAGGUGCUGCGGGACUGCACGGCUCGUUAAACCUGCUACAUCCCAUCCUCUCCUGGAGUUUAUUGGAUUAAAAUGCAGAUGUGAUGAAGCAAACGGUGUGAAGUGAAG